RNAcentral lists this ribosomal RNA (299 nucleotides) under uncultured bacterium. RNAcentral describes it as "partial 16S ribosomal RNA". It matches the Rfam family "Bacterial small subunit ribosomal RNA", at positions 1082 to 1382 of the family's 1533-position model. The record is from RNAcentral.
UAGUCCGCACGAGCGCACCCCUACUGUUAGUUGCCAGCAUGUAAUGAUGGGGACUCUAACAGGACUGCCUGCGCAAGCAGAGAGGAAGGAGGGGACGACGUCAAGUCAUCAUGGCCCUUACGCCCAGGGCUACACACGUGCUACAAUGGGGGGUACAAAGGGUUGCUACCUGGCAACAGGAUGCCAAUCUCAAAAAGCCUCUCUCAGUUCGGAUCGUGGUCUGCAACUCGACCACGUGAAGUUGGAAUCGCUAGUAAUCGCGCAUCAGCAAUGGCGCGGUGAAUACGUUCCCGGACCUU